GAUGAACGCUAGCGGCAUGCCUAAUACAUGCAAGUCGAACGGUAUCCAGAUCAAAGCUUUCUUUGGUCUGGUGAGAGUGGCGCACGGGUGCGUAACGCGUGAGCAACCUACCCUUGUCAGGGGGAUAGCCCGGCGAAAGUCGGAUUAAUACCGCAUGACAUCAUUUAUAGGCAUCUUUCGAUGAUCAAAGAUUUAUCUGACAAGGAUGGGCUCGCGUGACAUUUGCUAGUUGGUAAGGUAACGGCUUACCAAGGCUGCGAUGUCUAGGGGCUCUGAGAGGAGAAUCCCCCACACUGGUACUGAGACACGGACAAGACUACUACGGGAGGCAGCAGUAAGGAAUAUUGGUCAAUGGACGGAAGUCUGAACCAGCCAUGCCGCGUGCAGGAAGACGGCCCUAUGGGUUGUAAACUGCUUUUAUACGGGAACACACGUCGGUACGUGUACCGGUCUGAGUGUACCGUAAGAAUAAGGAGCGGCUAACUCCGU
RNAcentral lists this ribosomal RNA (489 nucleotides) under uncultured bacterium. RNAcentral describes it as "partial 16S ribosomal RNA". It matches the Rfam family "Bacterial small subunit ribosomal RNA", at positions 28 to 506 of the family's 1533-position model. The record is from RNAcentral.